RNAcentral lists this ribosomal RNA (253 nucleotides) under uncultured bacterium. RNAcentral describes it as "partial 16S ribosomal RNA". It matches the Rfam family "Bacterial small subunit ribosomal RNA", at positions 524 to 776 of the family's 1533-position model. The record is from RNAcentral.
UACAGAGGGGGCAAGCGUUGUUCGGAAUUAUUGGGCGUAAAGAGCUCGUAGGCGGUUUGUCGCGUCUGCUGUGAAAACUCGGGGCUUAACUCCGGGCCUGCAGUGGGUACGGGCAGACUAGAGUGCGGUAGGGGAGACUGGAAUUCCUGGUGUAGCGGUGAAAUGCGCAGAUAUCAGGAGGAACACCGGUGGCGAAGGCGGGUCUCUGGGCCGUAACUGACGCUGAGGAGCGAAAGCGUGGGGAGCGAACAGG